Molecule: long non-coding RNA, 1137 nt
Filed under: Salmo salar (Atlantic salmon)
Lineage: Eukaryota; Metazoa; Chordata; Actinopteri; Salmoniformes; Salmonidae
Description: lncRNA (ENSSSAG00000114912.1)
Source: RNAcentral
CAAGUAUUUACAAGGUGUCUAGUCAUUUCUGGUCGUUAAUGUCUAAUUGACCACACAUUAGUGCAAGUUGAAGUGUUGUCAGUGCUACACAGGUGUCUGUAGUCUAGGUGCUCGUUAUAAGUGCUUGAAAUCAUAGAUUGCCGUGUUCCAGAGCAUCAAGACUGUGAUCGAAGGGUGAAUUGUGACUGAAUUACUGAGCUACAAAUAAUAUUAAGUAGUUAUUUAUAAGUCAAGGUUACUCUACAUCACUCUCGACUCGCCUUAAAAGUCAUCUGCAAUGUGGAACGUCCAACAAUUCAUUGACACAGUUGUGACUGACUCCUUCAUAGCCGUCGGCCAGCUCUUUCACAUCCACCAUCUAAUUGAAGUGAAAGGACAGAAAUGUUGAAAGUGUGUUUUCUGCAGCACCAGUAAGGACCGUUCUCCUAUGAUGUAGUCGACCCUAUCAGAAAACAUUUACUCACUUUUUGCUUUUAUACAAAAAACAUGCCAUUUCUCCAUUUUGGUGAAAAGUGGGCCAUUAGCUAAACCACAACCUUCCUGUCCAAAGACCUUCAUGAACUAAUGAAACUAUAUCUGACAGUUUGGGGAGGAAUUCAUUCUAACGGGUGAAAAUGAACCAGGUCUUUUCUGUGUAUGUGCCGGUCUUUAAGCAUAAAUGUAAAUAUAUAAAAUAUACUAAUAAUGCAUCCAGUCUCUGGUUAUUGGUGAUACUUCCCAUUCUGCACAAUUGUGACCUUUGACCCCUUGCACGUGGUCUUAAAUGUCCACAUUCUGGAUGACAUCCUGCCAGACUUUGUUGGUAUUUCACUGUUUGAUCUAGCAUGUGACUGUUUUUCCCCCCCAGCACUUGUCCCAUGUUAGCUGGCCCACUAUGCAGUUAAAUGGAAAGGUUUUUCCCCAGCACUUGUCUCAUGUUGGCUGGCCCACUAUGCAGUUAAAUGGAAAGGUUUUUCCCCAGCACUUGUCCCAUGUUGGCUGGCCUACUAUGCAGUUAAAUGGAAAGGUUCUACAGAUGUAGACGUGUGAAUUGGGAUGAGGGGAAAUGACAAUCAAUGACAACUGAAAUAGCAAACAUUAUCUGUAUAUCGCUAUAUUUGUUCUUGUAGAUGUACUUUGAAUAUGUUUAAUAUGUGG